Molecule: ribosomal RNA, 1123 nt
Filed under: Burkholderia sp. OL919
Lineage: Bacteria; Pseudomonadati; Pseudomonadota; Betaproteobacteria; Burkholderiales; Burkholderiaceae
Description: bacterial SSU rRNA
Rfam family: Bacterial small subunit ribosomal RNA
Source: RNAcentral
UGGCGAACGGGUGAGUAAUACAUCGGAACGUGUCCUGUAGUGGGGGAUAGCCCGGCGAAAGCCGGAUUAAUACCGCAUACGACCUAAGGGAGAAAGCGGAGGAUCUUCGGACCUCGCGCUAUAGGGGCGGCCGAUGGCAGAUUAGCUAGUUGGUGGGGUAAAGGCCUACCAAGGCGACGAUCUGUAGCUGGUCUGAGAGGACGACCAGCCACACUGGGACUGAGAUACGGCCCAGACUCCUACGGGAGGCAGCAGUGGGGAAUUUUGGACAAUGGGGGCAACCCUGAUCCAGCAAUGCCGCGUGUGUGAAGAAGGCCUUCGGGUUGUAAAGCACUUUUGUCCGGAAAGAAAACUUCGAGGCUAAUAUCCUUGGAGGAUGACGGUACCGGAAGAAUAAGCACCGGCUAACUACGUGCCAGCAGCCGCGGUAAUACGUAGGGUGCGAGCGUUAAUCGGAAUUGCUGGGCGUAAAGCGUGCGCAGGCGGUCUGUUAAGACCGAUGUGAAAUCCCCGGGCUUAACCUGGGAACUGCAUUGGUGACUGGCAGGCUUUGAGUGUGGCAGAGGGAGGUAGAAUUCCACGUGUAGCAGUGAAAUGCGUAGAGAUGUGGAGGAAUACCGAUGGCGAAGGCAGCCUCCUGGGCCAACACUGACGCUCAUGCACGAAAGCGUGGGGAGCAAACAGGAUUAGAUACCCUGGUAGUCCACGCCCUAAACGAUGUCAACUAGUUGUUGGGGAUUCAUUUGCUUAGUAACGUAGCUAACGCGUGAAGUUGACCGCCUGGGGAGUACGGUCGCAAGAUUAAAACUCAAAGGAAUUGACGGGGACCCGCACAAGCGGUGGAUGAUGUGGAUUAAUUCGAUGCAACGCGAAAAACCUUACCUACCCUUGACAUGGUCGGAAUCCUGCUGAGAGGCGGGAGUGCUCGAAAGAGAACCGGCGCACAGGUGCUGCAUGGCUGUCGUCAGCUCGUGUCGUGAGAUGUUGGGUUAAGUCCCGCAACGAGCGCAACCCUUGUCCUUAGUUGCUACGCAAGAGCACUCUAAGGAGACUGCCGGUGACAAGCCGGAGGAAGGUGGGGAUGACGUCAAGUCCUCAUGGCCCUUAUGGGUAGGGCUUCACA